This 425-nucleotide long non-coding RNA is filed under the name Eucalyptus grandis. RNAcentral's name for it is "long non-coding RNA (EGRA_LNC002175)". Lineage: Eukaryota; Viridiplantae; Streptophyta; Magnoliopsida; Myrtales; Myrtaceae. The record is from RNAcentral.
AAGGCCUUACACUCAGUGACAAGACCACACACUUCCCACGGUGGUUUGUCUUGAUCUGUGAGGAUGCUUAUCAAAGUUAAGUUGUCUGACUCCAAAGCGCAACAGGCUUGCGUUCGUGCGCCAAACCACUUCAAUGCCUCCAACAAAGCUAGGGUUUACCGACCAAAAAAAAAAAACAAAGCUAGGGUUUCUAGUUGCAAGACUGAGGAAGCCCAAACCUCCAUCGCGAAGCCAUCGAUCAACUUCCCCGACUCAUCUUUGCACACUACGGCUGUGGCUCCAGCAGACGAUCCCACACCGAGCGACCCAUGCACAUUUGUCUUCAACGAGCCCUUCUUCGGUGGAGACCAAGUCGACGAUGAGUUUCCUCGUCGAAUUUCAUUUGUGUUUUUCAAUCGGUUCCAUCUCCUGAAGCUGCUCUGAAU